UACAGAGGUCUCAAGCGUUGUUCGGAUUCAUUGGGCGUAAAGGGUGUGUAGGUGGCGCCGUUAGUCGGGUGUGAAAUUUCGGAGCUUAACUCCGAAACUGCAUUCGAUACUGCGGUGCUUGAGGACUGGAGAGGAGACUGGAAUUCAUGGUGUAGCAGUGAAAUGCGUAGAUAUCGGGAGGAAUACCUAUGGCGAAAGCAGGCUACUGGACCGUCACUGACUCUGAUCUGCGAAAGCUAGGGGAGCAAACAGG
RNAcentral lists this ribosomal RNA (253 nucleotides) under uncultured bacterium. RNAcentral's name for it is "partial 16S ribosomal RNA". It matches the Rfam family "Bacterial small subunit ribosomal RNA", at positions 524 to 776 of the family's 1533-position model. The record is from RNAcentral.